GAUGAAGAACGUAGCGAAAUGCGAUAAGUAAUGUGAAUUGCAGAAUUCAGUGAAUCAUCGAAUCUUUGAACGCACAUUGCGCCCGUCAGUAUUCUGGCGGGCAUGCCUGUUCGAGCGUCAUUACGCCCCUCAUGUCCCCUGUGGACUUGGUGUUGGGGAUCGGCGAGGCUGGUUUUCCAGCACAGCCGUCCCUUAAAUUAAUUGGCGGUCUCGCCGUGGCCCUCCUCUGCGCAGUAGUAAAACACUCGCAACAGGAGCCCGGCGCGGUCCACUGCCGUAAAACCCCCCAACUUUUUAUAGUUGACCUCGAAUCAGGUAGGACUACCCGCUGAACUUAAGCAUAUCAAUAAGCGGAGGA
RNAcentral lists this unclassified non-coding RNA (358 nucleotides) under soil metagenome. RNAcentral's name for it is "partial contains 5.8S ribosomal RNA, internal transcribed spacer 2, and large subunit ribosomal RNA". The stretch from base 1 to 120 matches the Rfam family "5.8S ribosomal RNA", at positions 35 to 154 of the family's 154-position model. The record is from RNAcentral.